CUUGGACACCAAAAUCUGACAAUUUUAUAACAGUGGAACCUGUAGCAAUUAUCAAAAUCUGAUACUUGAAGAUUUCUCCAGCUGCACUUAUGAGAGUCUUGGCAGCAAGAUCUGCUUUGACUAUUUCUGUGCCAAGUAUCAACUCUAUCCCUUUCUCUUUGUACCAUUCAGGAGCUAGCCUCUCCCCUCCACUUCCAACACAUACAUGGAAUCCUGGAAGCCUUGCAGUUCCUUCAGGAAAAAGAUAUGCCUUGCUAAGUGCAGGACGUUCAUAAGGAGCCACCGCCUCCUUGGAGAUGAUUGCUAAUUCACCUGGCUCAACCCCUUGCUUGGCAAACUCCCUAGCUGCAUAUCCAGCCGCGACGCCACCACCGACGAUCACGUACUUGAAGCUCUUCUCCACCAUUUGAUUAGUUGGUCCUCUGCCUCUCACUCUCUCUCUCUCUCUCUCUUUCC
This 456-nucleotide unclassified non-coding RNA is filed under the name Hevea brasiliensis (rubber tree). The record is from RNAcentral. Lineage: Eukaryota; Viridiplantae; Streptophyta; Magnoliopsida; Malpighiales; Euphorbiaceae.